CUAGUUGGUAGUGUAAUAGACAACCAAGGCGACGAUCAGUAGCUGGUCUGAGAGGACGAUCAGCCACACUGGGACUGAGACACGGCCCAGACUCCUACGGGAGGCAGCAGUGGGGAAUUUUCCGCAAUGGGCGAAAGCCUGACGGAGCAAUACCGCGUGAGGGAGGAAGGCUCUUGGGUCGUAAACCUCUUUUCUCAGGGAAGAAAAAAAUGACGGUACCUGAGGAAUAAGCAUCGGCUAACUCCGUGCCAGCAGCCGCGGUAAUACGGAGGAUGCAAGCGUUAUCCGGAAUGAUUGGGCGUAAAGCGUCCGCAGGUGGCGAUGUAAGUCUGCUGUUAAAGCGUCUAGCUCAACUAGAUAAAAGCAGUGGAAACUACUUACGCUAGAGUGCGUUCGGGGCAGAGGGAAUUCCUGGUGUAGCGGUGAAAUGCGUAGAGAUCAGGAAGAACACCAGUGGCGAAGGCGCUCUGCUAGGCCGCAACUGACACUGAGGGACGAAAGCUAGGGGAGCGAAUGGGAUUAGAUACCCCAGUAGUCCUAGCCGUAAACGAUGGAUACUAGGCGUGGCUUGUAUCGACCCGAGCCGUGCCGUAGCUAACGCGUUAAGUAUCCCGCCUGGGGAGUACGCCGGCAACGGUGAAACUCAAAGGAAUUGACG
This 658-nucleotide ribosomal RNA is filed under the name uncultured bacterium. Its description in RNAcentral is "SSU rRNA". It matches the Rfam family "Bacterial small subunit ribosomal RNA", at positions 245 to 915 of the family's 1533-position model. The record is from RNAcentral.